Molecule: ribosomal RNA, 346 nt
Filed under: uncultured bacterium
Lineage: Bacteria
Description: partial 16S ribosomal RNA
Rfam family: Bacterial small subunit ribosomal RNA
Source: RNAcentral
CCUACGGGAGGCAGCAGUGGGGAAUAUUGCACAAUGGGGGAAACCCUGAUGCAGCGACGCCGCGUGAGAGAUGAAGGAGUUCGGUAUGGAAAGCUCUAGCAGCAGGGAAGAAGAUGACGGUACCUGACUAAGAAGCCCCGGCUAACGACGUGCCAGCAGCCGCGGUAAUACGUAGGGGGCAAGCGUUAUCCGGAUUUACUGGGUUUAAAGGGAGCGUAGACGGCGAUGAAAGCCAGAUGUGAAAGCCCGGGGCUCCACCCCGGGACUGCAUUUGGAACUGUGUGGCUGGAGGGUCGGAGAGGCAGGCGGAAUUCCUUUUGUAGCGGUGCAAUUCUUAGAUCUUAGG